RNAcentral lists this ribosomal RNA (497 nucleotides) under uncultured bacterium. Its description in RNAcentral is "partial 16S ribosomal RNA". It matches the Rfam family "Bacterial small subunit ribosomal RNA", at positions 28 to 507 of the family's 1533-position model. The record is from RNAcentral.
GAUGAACGCUGGCGGCGUGCCUAAUACAUGCAAGUCGAGCGAACGGACGAGAAGCUUGCUUCUCUGAUGUUAGCGGCGGAAGGGUGAGUAACACGUGGAUAACCUACCUAUAAGACUGGGAUAACUUCGGGAAACCGGCGCUAAUACCGGAUAAUAUUUUGAACCGCAUGGUUCAAAAGUGAAAGACGGUCUUGCUGUCACUUAUAGUUGGAUCCGCGCUGCAUUAGCUAGUUGGUAAGGUAACGGCUUACCAAGGCAACGAUGCAUAGCCGACCUGAGAGGGUGAUCGGCCACACUGGAACUGAGACACGGUCCAGACUCCUGCGGGAGGCAGCAGUAGGGAAUCUUCCGCAAUGGGCGAAAGCCUGACGGAGCAACGCCGCGUGAGUGAUGAAGGGCUUCGGAUCGUAAAACUCUGUUAUUAGGGAAGAACAUAUGUGUAAGUAACUGUGCACAUCUUGACGGUACCUAAUCAGAAAGCCACGGCUAACUACGUG